Molecule: long non-coding RNA, 2138 nt
Filed under: Equus caballus (horse)
Lineage: Eukaryota; Metazoa; Chordata; Mammalia; Perissodactyla; Equidae
Description: lncRNA (ENSECAG00000052032.1)
Source: RNAcentral
AGAUGGGACAGUGUCCCAGGUGGACAUCUUGCCUGUGGCACACUGGACUCUGGCUAGAGGCCUCUCUUGGAAGCUGUCCUGCAGCUGCCUGAGCCCCUUGUCUCAGGGACAGCCCCAAGUGACUGGUUGCUAGCCAGACAUCAUUGGCCCAUGGCACUUUUGCUUUGGUGGUGGAAGAAACUAGGUUUAGGACUUAGGAAGACGUCUCUUCAUGGCAUGCCAAGCGGUGCCAUGUCUGCACCAGGGAUCCAAACCGGCAAACCCCAGGCCACUGAGAAGUGAAUGUGCGAACUUAACCACUGCACCACCGGGCCAGCCCCUGGAGUUAAGAAAACCUUUUUCUCUAUUCUCUUAAAGAACUAUGACUUACAGCAAUUUAUAAACAAAAUUGAAACAUUCGUCUUUUCUUCACUACCUGAGCCCUCCAAAACGUAAAAACCCCUGAUGAGUAAGUAUUCUUAUUCUUAUGGCAACAUAGUUGUUUGCAUGAGUCCAGUAAGAAUCUGUGCUUCUUUUAACAGGACACAAUUGGAAACACUGCUUAUAUUACCAAGGCUUUGACUGGAACAUCAUAUUUAAAAAAACAUACGGGCUUGGAUAUAACAAGACAGCUUUUGAGGAACGAAGGUUGACAUUCUGGAAUAAAGCCACUUGGAAAUAUUGGGCUGGUACUGUGCUUAUGGGUUCUGUAGCCUGGUAAGUUUGAGCAAAGAAUGUCUCUCCCUCUAGCAGGUACAAGGAACCUCAAUAUUUUGGGGAACAUCACAAAGAGAGGGAUUCACCCAAAUCUGUAGGUACUGCAGGUAGAAUGUGAUAACAGGUCCUUUGCCUGGUUUUCCUUGAGAGGCUUUUAAAGUUCAACCUGAGAUUCCUUAUAAGGUUCUAGCAAAGCAGAUUUAAAAGAGCCUAUAUGAUCAAUUACUAUUCUUGCUGUACUUAUGUAAAUAAUUAUGCCAAGUUUAUCAAAACUAGACUUAUUUUUCAAACCAGUUAGUCUUAAUUUGACUAUAUCUGGUGAAAUUGAGGGUGAUUUUAGGGAGGAAGAUUAUGUUUCAAUAAAAACUAUAUUACACAUUUAUAGAUAUUGGAUUUUAGUUUUUUCAAUUGUCUUUGAAAUUUUAUUUUACUUCUGUUAACUGAACUGGAUCUUAAAUUCUUCUAGUCUCCUAAAAUAUCUGGCUAAAAACCUCCAAACUAACAUUUUCAGGGUUUUUUUCCCAUUAUUUUCAUUUGGAGUCAUUGAAAACUAAAUCUGCCCUUUUUCCUAAAGCCUUACAAACUGAAGCUGGAAGACCUAAUAUAAACAUAAGAGAGAUUCACGUCUACUGCUGUGUACGCCACUCAAAAACGUACCUGAGUGCCCAAUGACACCAUCAGAGACAUUUCAAACUGCAAAAGAUGCUUCGACCCUGACUUCUAGGAAUAUUGAUUGGCUGCCCCCUGGGCCCAAAAAGUGGUUUAUAAUUUACUCCAAACAUUAACCUUGUUUUUCUCUUUUUGUUUCUCUAGAAAAACUUCUUAUUAAACACCUGGUUACUUACCUACAUGACACAGGCCUAACUUCAGGAGCCCACCAGCAUCACUGCCUUAUUAAAAGACUAGUUCAAUGAGAUGAAACAACCUAUGCCCCAUUUCAACAGGAAGUAGCUAUAUCAGUCACUGUCCCAAAUCCCUCAAGAUUGAGGCAUGGACAUAAAAUAGGGGAGAGUUGAUAUCAACCCUGAUAUCAGUUUCCCCACGUUAAACCCAGCAUAUAUGGGGUUAAAAACAAAACACUCAUUCCUAUCUUACUCUCUGGUUUCCUGGCUCCAGAAUCCACUAUCCUCCAUGGAGACAGACACCACCAAGGAGAGGCACCUGGAUUAUCUCCUCCCCACAAAGAGAUACAGGCUGGUGGGAAAGUUGCUGACCAUCAAGGUCAUGGGCUCCCUCCUCUCUGCAAGUGGUCUCAAGGCCAAAGACAGGCUAGGUGGGAAAGCUCUGACCAGCAAGGCCUUAUGCUCUCUCUUCCCUACCUAAAACCCCAAAUAAAAACCCUUCCUUUUAGCUUUUUGGGGAGUUUGGGAUUUCAGCAUUAGCUGCCCUCUCUCCUUGCUCAGUGCUGUGCAAAAAUAAAAUUUCUACUUUCUUCCACCACA